GACUCGUCACACUAUCAUUAACUGAAUCCAUAGGUUAAUGAGGCGAACCGGGGGAACUGAAACAUCUAAGUACCCCGAGGAAAAGAAAUCAACCGAGAUUCCCCCAGUAGCGGCGAGCGAACGGGGAGGAGCCCAGAGCCUGAAUCAGCAUGUGUGUUAGUGGAAGCGUCUGGAAAGGCGCGCGAUACAGGGUGACAGCCCCGUACACAAAAGCGCAUGUGCUGUGAGCUCGAUGAGUAGGGCGGGACACGUGGUAUCCUGUCUGAAUAUGGGGGGACCAUCCUCCAAGGCUAAAUACUCCUGACUGACCGAUAGUGAACCAGUACCGUGAGGGAAAGGCGAAAAGAACCCCGGCGAGGGGAGUGAAAAAGAACCUGAAACCGUGUACGUACAAGCAGUGGGAGCCCCACCACUAAGCCAGUGGUGAACUCCACAUACGCAUCCUUUGCUGAGGAUACGGUUAACGGAGCGAAAGCGACGUUCAACCUCAAAAGAAGCAGAGGGGGCUUAGUGGUGGGGUGACUGCGUACCUUUUGUAUAAUGGGUCAGCGACUUAUAUUCUGUAGCAAGGUUAACCGAAUAGGGGAGCCGAAGGGAAACCGAGUCUUAACCGGGCGUUAAGUUGCAGGGUAUAGACCCGAAACCCGGUGAUCUAGCCAUGGGCAGGUUGAAGGUUGGGUAACACUAACUGGAGGACCGAACCGACUAAUGUUGAAAAAUUAGCGGAUGACCUGUGGCUGGGGGUGAAAGGCCAAUCAAACCGGGAGAUAGCUGGUUCUCCCCGAAAGCUAUUUAGGUAGCGCCUCGUGAAUUCAUCUCCGGGGGUAGAGCACUGUUUCGGCUAGGGGGCCAUCCCGGCUUACCAACCCGAUGCAAACUGCGAAUACCGGAGAAUGUUAUCACGGGAGACACACGGCGGGUGCUAACGUCCGUCGUGAAGAGGGAAACAACCCAGACCGCCAGCUAAGGUCCCAAAGUCAUGGUUAAGUGGGAAACGAUGUGGGAAGGCCCAGACAGCCAGGAUGUUGGCUUAGAAGCAGCCAUCAUUUAAAGAAAGCGUAAUAGCUCACUGGUCGAGUCGGCCUGCGCGGAAGAUGUAACGGGGCUAAACCAUGCACCGAAGCUGCGGCAGCGACGCUUAUG
This 1143-nucleotide ribosomal RNA is filed under the name Salmonella enterica subsp. enterica serovar Hvittingfoss. Its description in RNAcentral is "partial 23S ribosomal RNA". It matches the Rfam family "Bacterial large subunit ribosomal RNA", at positions 137 to 1220 of the family's 2925-position model. The record is from RNAcentral. Lineage: Bacteria; Pseudomonadati; Pseudomonadota; Gammaproteobacteria; Enterobacterales; Enterobacteriaceae.